UCUCCGUUGGUGAACCAGCGGAGGGAUCAUUACCGAGUUUACAACUCCCAAACCCCAUGUGAACCUUACCAAACGUUGCUUCGGCGGGAUGCCCCGGGCGCGGGCCGCAAGGUCUCAGCCCCGGAACCAGGCGCCCGCCGGAGGCCCAAACCAAACUCUUGUUUUUGUAGAAUCUUCUGAGUGGCCUUUUAGGCAAAAAAUGAAUCAAAACUUUCAACAACGGAUCUCUUGGUUCUG
This 237-nucleotide unclassified non-coding RNA is filed under the name plant metagenome. Its description in RNAcentral is "partial contains small subunit ribosomal RNA, internal transcribed spacer 1, and 5.8S ribosomal RNA". The record is from RNAcentral.